UAUAAAUGUUGACACAUUGCCUAGUG
RNAcentral lists this non-coding RNA (26 nucleotides) under Mus musculus (house mouse). The record is from RNAcentral. Lineage: Eukaryota; Metazoa; Chordata; Mammalia; Rodentia; Muridae.